Molecule: ribosomal RNA, 485 nt
Filed under: uncultured bacterium
Lineage: Bacteria
Description: partial 16S ribosomal RNA
Rfam family: Bacterial small subunit ribosomal RNA
Source: RNAcentral
GGUGAACGCUCGCGGCAGGCCUAAUACAUGCAAGUCGAGCGGCAGCGCAGUGUAGCAUUACACGGGCGGCGACCGGCAAACGGGUGCGGAACACGUACGCCACCUACUCAUAACUGAUGAAUAGCCCUCCGAAAGGAGGAUUAAUACAACGUAACUUAAUGAAGCGGCAUCGCUUUAUUAAUAUAGCUCCGGCGGUUUUGGAUGGGCGUGCGCCUGUUUAGGUAGUUGGCGGGGUAACGGCCCACCAAGGCUGCGAUCAGUGACUGGUGUGUGAGCACGACCAGUCACACGGGCACAGCGACACGGACCCGACUCCUGCGGGAGGCAGCAGUAAUGAGUAUUGGACAAUGGACGCAAGUCUGAACCAGCUAUGCCGCGUGAAGGAUGAAGGUCCUGUGGAUUGUAAACGUCUUUAGAAUGGGACGAAACCUCUUUUUCUUGAGAGACUGACGGUACCAAUAGAAUAAGCACGGGCUAACUCCGUG